This 206-nucleotide long non-coding RNA is filed under the name Daucus carota (carrot). Its description in RNAcentral is "long non-coding RNA (DCAR_LNC002351)". Lineage: Eukaryota; Viridiplantae; Streptophyta; Magnoliopsida; Apiales; Apiaceae. The record is from RNAcentral.
AAAAUAGGGAAUCUGGAUAUAUAGGGCCACCUGUCGUGACUGUGAAGAAGAGAAGAAAAGUUGUAGGUAUUACAAGUAGAAGGAGUAAUAAUCUGGAAUUCAAUGUUGGAAUGGCGUUUGUAAACAUGGAGGAAUUUAGAAAUUCAGUAAAACAAUAUGGUUUGGAUGAAAGAAGGGGUGUCCAUUUUGUGUGCAAUGAGCCUGAC